Long non-coding RNA from Serinus canaria (Common canary), 2622 nucleotides. RefSeq lists it as uncharacterized. NCBI's taxonomy places the organism in Eukaryota, Metazoa, Chordata, Aves, Passeriformes, Fringillidae. The record is from RefSeq and is a predicted model, not a curated record. The transcript is spliced from 2 exons.
AAAAAAAAAAAGAAAGAGAGAGAGAGAUAUGUUUUAAAAAUGCAAGCGGCUUGCCCAGCUGCACACACCCGCCCUCCCUCGGCCGCCUCCCUCCCUCCCUGCGCACACACCGCACGCUCGCACCCGCUCGGGUGUCAAACCCCGCCGGGCACCCAGCCUGGUGCGGGCACUGCCCCGGCCCCCCCGGCCCUUCCCAGCGCCGCCGACCGGAGCCUCCCCCGCUUCCAAAUGCUAAUUAGCAGGAAGAUCUUUCAGAAGCCAUCAAGAAAAUGGAUCUCAUCAAAGCUAACAACACGUGGGGCUUCCCGAAGAUCCCGUGUUUUCCAGAAUUGCUGCUGCUUCCCCACCUGACGCUGAAACACCAAAGAGUUGCACAAUGGAAUUGGGCUCUUCCUCAAGAGAAUGUUUUCCAUGGAAGGGGAUCAGGUAUUUAGAGGAAAUGAAUAUGCAUAGCUGGAAUUCUCAAUAUUAGUCAAUAGCAGAGGAGAGGCCAGGUCUGUCCCGAGGGAUCCAUUGAAAAGGUGAAAUCCUCAGCCAGGAGCCCCUCCUGGGUUCCUUGGGAUGGGGCUGGCACUGGGAGCUCAUGGAGUCCAAGAGCUUUUUAUGAGUUCAUUGGGGUCCUGAACUGGCUGGUUUCAGCUCAUUUUGGGCAUUGGGAAAUGUGUGGCCAAGUCCAGAGGAGGUUUGGGACCUCUGGUUUAACCUGGGCUCCCAUUCCAAGGCCAAAGCCAAACUGGGGAGAGCUCCAUCGUCAUCUGGGGAGUUGUUUUAGGUCUUCAGUAGCAUGGCUACCACUCUCAUGCCAUACAAAGAAAUUUUUCCUUUGGAUUCAUGAGGUUUUUUUCCCUGGAAUCAGUGGCUGCUGGUGCCCCUGAGCUCAAUCCAGGCUGGCAAUCCACAGAUCCUCUCUGUGGGCAAGGACCUGCAGGGCAUGGAUCCUGCUCCUGAGAACUCAGUGAGGCACGUUAGCUGCAUCAAAUAUUGCUCAGAAUAUCUCUCUGUAUUAUCCAGAAUAUCUCAUUUUGCUCCUUUGAUCUGAAUGCAUCCCCAGGUUCACCAGAGGCAUUUGCAAACUCCCAUUCUCUGCCUCUGUGUUUGAUAUAUUUGGGUUCCUUUUCCCUCUGCCUAACAAAGGAACGCCUGAAAUUUUGACUUUUCCAGCCCCUUGAAAACCUCCUGCCUUAAAUAACGGAAGGGGAUGUGCCUCAGUCUUGGAUUCAGCAAUAAUUCUGGUUUUUACCCUGGGCCCAGACUGAAUUUUCCUCCUGGGUUACAGUUUUGGUGCUUUUCACUGCAUGGAUACCCCACAAGUCCUGCAGUGGGGGAAGAUCUGACACUUUGGGGUUAUUGUUAUCUCUGGAGGGCAAAAACCUCCAGGCUCCCCUGAAAGAAAAUGAUUUUUCCCUGCCCAAAAAGAGGUGGAGACUCAUUUGCAGAAUGUGAAAGGAGGGAACAGGAGGGCAAAAGGCAGCCAAAAGUGCUUUGGCCAAGGAAGCAAAGCACACCAAGAUAUUUCUGUCUCCUGGUUUACAGGGCUGCUGCUCUUUAAGCACAAAUUCCUCCUCUCUGGAACAUUCCAGGUUGGGAAUGAGGUUCUGCCAUGCCAGGAGCCCCUCGGGUGUACCCCCACCUGUAACAGUGGGAUCCAUGCUACUUCUGGGAACAAGAAAUUCAUGUUUUCUGUUUUUCUGUCCUUCACCCAAUGCUCUGGCACUGUGUUUGAAUAGAUGAGGGCAUUCCAACCAAUUUUUAAAAAAAUAAUAAAUGUAUAAUUCCCGAGAUGAAAGAGGAACCUCUGCUUUCCUCGGUGAGCCUGCUUGCAAUUGUUUUUCUUUAACAGCUCUUCCCACACUGCAGUCAAUGAAUCUCUAAUCUCCUGGACUGAAAUGUCUGACACUUCCAGAAUCCUUUCUUUGCUGCCUCGACUCGCAGAGCUCCACCUCCAGCAGCGCUCAGCAGUGGGCUGGGGGUGAAUCUGAUGGAAAUGUCUGCUGGUUUUGGGGGUGGCAGGGAGGGAUGGGAGGACGAGCAGGGGCUCUGCUGUGCCUCUCCCACCACCCUCCCAGCCAGGGCUGUCCCCACCAGCAGCUGCUGAAGGACCUGAGGGACAAGGAGUGGACGAGCUCUGGCUGAGUCGAUUCCUGGCUGCUGAAUAAAUUGAGUUUAUUCCACGGCUGCUCCCGACCCAAGCCUGGUGCUCUGGGCUGUGGAAUCCUCUGGAAGGUGGACAGGAGGGCAAGGAGGAGAAGCUCAGCCCCUGAGAGAAGUCUGCUCCCUCUGGCUGCUCCAAGAAGCUGAGCUUGCCCUGGAAGGUGUUUGGUGCUCCCUUCCCACUCGCCUGCCCCGCUGGCAGCUCCACUCUGAGGAUGAAUUAUGCCAGAAAUUCUGGGAAGCACCAGAAACGCUGAGGAUGGAGAAGAGCCCUCUCAGUGCACUCAUUUGUGGAUAAAGUCGCUCUCAGCUGGAUUGCAGCUCCUCCUGAGCAGGCCACGAGCUGUGGGAAGGAUCACAAAGUCACCAGUGGACUUUGGGUUGCCUUUGGUGUGCUUGUAUCAUGUGUGAGCAUGCAGAGAGCUUGGUUUCCCACCAGGAGCCCAGUAAAUGGCACCUCUGUCAACCAGA